CGGGCAUUGUCUCUCUGUUGUGCCAUCAGACCGUGGCAGUUUGCUGCUGCCACUGCCACCCCACCUGGGGGCUGCACCCUCCUGGCAGCCUUUGCCAGCCCCGCACAUGAGCUCCAGGGGUGCUUCUGUGCUGUGUUGGGAGUGUUUGCUGGGAAUGUUCCUGAUCCCUGGGAGUAUCCUUUUGUUCCUGGGCAGUCAGAGAGCUUUUGGGCUUGUCAGCUUCAGACUUUGAUUGCAAAAGUCACUGAAAGGGAGAAUGACAACGAGGUUUGUCAGAGUGGUGCUAUCAGACCCCAGCUGACAGUUUGUGCUGUGUGCUUGGAGGUUGUUUUGUAUUUGCAAUGCAGGGAGGGAAUGUCCCCUUCCCAAUUCAGCUGAAAAAGGCUUGGCAUAGCGCAUUUUUUCCUGGAGAAAACCACAUGGCAGAGACAGUUUGCAAAAGGACCCAGAGCUGUGUUUGGAGAAGGGAGUGCUGUGAGUGCCGACAAGCUGCAUCUGCCUGUGCUCUUAUUCCAGGAAAAAUUGCACUAUGCCAAGCCUUUUUCAGUUCUUUCACCUUGAAAAGCUCUUGCUGGCACACAGCGAGCAGAUGCUUAUUCCUCAAGUGCUCAGACUGGACUAGGACCACUCCACACCACUUCAUUUUUCCAGAAGGAGGAGGGAAAAUCAUGGACUUCCAUGCAAGAAUGGGCGGAGAGAAACCUGGAAGUCUUGCACGUUGUUACUGAUUUAUUUUGAUCUGGCCUUUGCCCCUCGGUGCCCUAAGCCGGGGCGCUGCCUGGUGGCGAACAGCGGAACUGCAGCGGGAACAGUGCGCACGCGCGUUCUACAGCGGAAGCCCUUUGCACGUGGGAAGGAAGGGCGAGACGGAAACGCCACGAGCAUGCGCGGUGCUAUGGAGAAGGACGCGCAUGUGCGGUGCUGUGCCCGGCACGGAGCCCGGGAGGCGCCGCCGGGCCGGGCCCACCCGGGAAAGCAAAACCCGCCCGUUCUCCCGGGGCUGGGUCUGUCCGUGACAUCCCCGGAAAAACAAAAGCCGCCCGUUCUCCCGCCCCGGCCCCGGGGCGAGGAGCAGCACCUGAGCAGGAACAGUUGUGAGAAGUUUCCCGUUUGGAGCUGGGCUCCAAGAGGAAGGAACCUGAAACUGCUUCUUCCGAAGUGUGAGAGGCCGUAUGAAGCUUACUGCUGUAGGCAGCCAGUAACUUCCACGGAUAUUUUAACUAUUAAAAACAGUGACUUCUUUUUCCUCUGUGCAGAAAUGACUUGGUUCUCCCAUGCAGGAUUCACUGAGGCUUUGAAUUCCUAUCCAGGGUAUCUCCAGGCUUCUGGUGCUCGGGGCUGUAGCGUUUGUUGUGCAGAAAACAUCCCAGGCUGCCCACCCCGGGUCUGGAUGUGCAUUUCCGCAGUUCCUCAGAGUGGGAAAAGGCCAAGAGGGUGGUGGGAAGGGUUUCUCCCAGGCCUGGGCAUCCUCAAGACAGUUCAAGUUUGGUUUUGUUUCCCAGCCCAGGGCUAA
This 1513-nucleotide long non-coding RNA is filed under the name Chloebia gouldiae (Gouldian finch). RNAcentral's name for it is "Erythrura gouldiae (Gouldian finch) lncRNA (ENSEGOG00005009513.1)". The record is from RNAcentral. Lineage: Eukaryota; Metazoa; Chordata; Aves; Passeriformes; Passeridae.